Molecule: ribosomal RNA, 497 nt
Filed under: uncultured bacterium
Lineage: Bacteria
Description: partial 16S ribosomal RNA
Rfam family: Bacterial small subunit ribosomal RNA
Source: RNAcentral
GACGAACGCUGGCGGCGUGCCUAAUACAUGCAAGUUGAGCGCUGAAGGUUGGUACUUGUACCAACUGGAUGAGCAGCGAACGGGUGAGUAACGCGUGGGGAAUCUGCCUUUGAGCGGGGGACAACAUUUGGAAACGAAUGCUAAUACCGCAUAAAAACUUUAAACACAAGUUUUAAGUUUGAAAGAUGCAAUUGCAUCACUCAAAGAUGAUCCCGCGUUGUAUUAGCUAGUUGGUGAGGUAAAGGCUCACCAAGGCGAUGAUACAUAGCAGACCUGAGAGGGUGGUCGGCCACAUUGGGAGUGAGACACGGCCCAAACGCAUACGGGAGGCAGCAAGAGGGAAUCUUCGGCAAUGGACGAAAGUCUGACCGAGCAACGCCGCGGGAGUGAAGAAGGUUUUCGGAUCGUAAAACUCUGUUGGUAGAGAAGAACGUUGGUGAGAGUGGAAAGCUCAUCAAGUGACGGUAACUACCCAGAAAGGGACGGCUAACUACGUG